UACGUAGGGGGCAAGCGUUGUCCGGAAUCAUUGGGCGUAAAGCGCGUGUAGGCGGCUCGAUAAGUCUGCUGUGAAAGUCCAGGGCUCAACCCUGGAAUGCCAGUGGAAACUGUCGAGCUAGAGUCCGGAAGAGGCGAGUGGAAUUCCUGGUGUAGCGGUGAAAUGCGCAGAUAUCAGGAGGAACACCAAUGGCGAAGGCAGCUCGCUGGGACGGUACUGACGCUGAGACGCGAAAGCGUGGGGAGCAAACAGG
RNAcentral lists this ribosomal RNA (253 nucleotides) under uncultured bacterium. RNAcentral's name for it is "partial 16S ribosomal RNA". It matches the Rfam family "Bacterial small subunit ribosomal RNA", at positions 524 to 776 of the family's 1533-position model. The record is from RNAcentral.